RNAcentral lists this transfer RNA (75 nucleotides) under bacterium 336/3. It matches the Rfam family "tRNA". Rfam says of the family: Transfer RNA (tRNA) molecules are approximately 80 nucleotides in length. Their secondary structure includes four short double-helical elements and three loops (D, anti-codon, and T loops). Lineage: Bacteria; Pseudomonadati. The record is from Rfam by way of RNAcentral.
AGGCAAGUAGCUCAGUUGGAAGAGUACUCACCCAAUUGUGGUAAGAGGUCGUAGGUUCAAAUCCUGCCUUGUCUU